GCAGCCCAUCUUGCAUAUUACUCCUAAACAAGUGUCUUUUGGACCAUUGUAAGAGGCAGAACCAACAUCUUGUGGCAACUCUGGAGGAGAGAAUGAAGCUAUGAGAACACAAAAGUACCAAAGGAAAGACUUGUCUCCCUCCCUGCUGUGCUAAGUCAGGCCAGACUCAUGUGAUUGCUCACCCAGCCUGGGAAGCCGCGGUCUUCAGAUGCUCUGGGAUGCAGAGGUGUCCUGCCUUUUCACGCAACCAGGGGAAAAGUGUUAAUAUGCUGCUCAUUAGGAAUCUGAAAUUCCUGCCAUCCUCUCCUGCAUCCUAAUCGAAAUGCAUCUCAUCUUUAUCUGAUGCAGAGUUUCAGAUGAAAAUUAGAACGCUGGGCUGAAAGGUAAACUCGGCAGGAAAUCCUGCUUUCUCUUCAGCACUAGAUGUGCUUUUGACCUCCUAAAAUGUGACUUUGUGUUAAUUUAAAACUAAAUUCCCACUAGAUUAAGCACAAUCUGAAGACGCAAUAGGAGAAUGGCAGAGAAGGGGAAUCCAAGCAGCACUUAAUGUCGUCUUUACUUGUGUUUCAUGCUGAAAGAUCAGUUCAGGUAGUGAAUUAUUUAUGCUGCAGUCUGGCACAAGCAUAGGCAUGCAGCCUGCCAAAAUGUAGGAAGUCCAUUGUGAAGGCAGGAUAUUGGAUCCCGCAGGUGCGAACAGGCGUGCUUCCAUGUUUGAAAGUUCACAGUGGGAGAAUUCAAAUCGACCUCUGAGGUUGGCUGCAGAUUAAACUCCUCCAUUUUUAAUUAGAUGCUGCCCAAAGGACCUCAUGUCAGGAAAAAAGUAACACUAAACCCAUGGAAAUAUCCGUAAUAAUUGUCCUACAGAUUCAGUCAUUGUCGGUGGGGUAAAACAUUAACAUCCUUUUGUUGUGCUCAAGCAUUUGCUUGGUUUGGGGUUUUAUUUUCCUGCAGUCCAACAACUUUAAAGCCUAAUGAGUUAAGAAUUGCCCAGGAUGAUAAUGGGGCUGCUAAGACUCUUUAAUGAUUGGCAUGGCUCAUGAAGGGGAGAAACAAAACUGAAGGAGGCUCCCUGGGGAAGGGUGUAAGGCCACAAAGGGUUGAGUGGGCAACUUGGAGAAAGGGGCUGUUGCUUUCACACCAUUAGGUGUUUAAAAGAAGCCAAACCCUGGCCACAGCUGACUAAUUUUGGCUAAUUGGAACCUACAUGGGUCAAAGCUUGGUGGCCUUGCUGCUGGUAGGUCAGGGCAGCAUCCAUCAUUGGCCUCUCCUCUGAACGGCAGCCCAUCCACAGCCUGUGACAGUGCAUACAAGCAGGAAAACUGUCAGGAAGCUAUUCCUUGUGGAAGAUCAUGUUGUGCUCGUUUGUCUUGGUGCUGCUUUCCCAUAGCUGGGGUGGAUGAUCAAGGAAGUGCAUACGUAGACCGGUCUCAUGGGAUGUCCUUGCUCUUCCUCCUACUUCAGGGCCAAUUUAUCACUGUAGAGCCUUUCUCUCCCUUCUCUGCUGACAGAUUAGCUACUGUUCAACCACUGCUCAUAUCCUAGCUGAAAUCCUAGGUAAAACCAGCUGAUGCUGGUGGGUACAUGGGCUUUGAUCCUCAGCAGGAGUGGCUCUGGUAUGGGGUUUCACUGUGGGAGCAGGGAGUGCAGCUGAGCUAUUUGAAUAGCUUGUUUGGAUUUUUGCUUCCAAACUGUGGAUAAAAGAGCCUUUCUUGUGUAGCAACACUUCCAGAGAUGCAGAAUUCCCUUACAAAAGGAUGGAAGCCUUUGUGGUGGGUGCAUGGAUGUGUGGGCUCAGCUAUGGUGAGAGGUGUGGGCUGAUACGCUGCCUGCUCACUCCUACUGUCUACUGCUGUGUGGAGGACUGGCCUGGUUUUAGGCAAUGCUCUGUCACUUAAAUGCAUCAAUCCCAAAAUACAUCAGGCAAGAG
This is a long non-coding RNA of Pezoporus occidentalis (night parrot), 1927 nucleotides long. RefSeq lists it as uncharacterized. The transcript is spliced from 3 exons. NCBI's taxonomy places the organism in Eukaryota, Metazoa, Chordata, Aves, Psittaciformes, Psittacidae. The record is from RefSeq and is a predicted model, not a curated record.